RNAcentral lists this ribosomal RNA (441 nucleotides) under uncultured bacterium. RNAcentral describes it as "partial 16S ribosomal RNA". It matches the Rfam family "Bacterial small subunit ribosomal RNA", at positions 339 to 795 of the family's 1533-position model. The record is from RNAcentral.
CUACGGGUGGCAGCAGUCACGAAUCUUCCUCAAUGGCCGAAAGGCUGAAGGAGCAAUGCCGCGUGUAUGAAGACGCCCCUCGGGGUGUAAAAUACUUUUAUUAGGGAAGAAACAAUGACGGUACCUAAUGAAUAAGGGGCUGCUAACCUCGUGCCAGCAGCAGCGGUAAUACGAGGGCCCCAAGCGUUAUCCGGAUUUACUGGGCGUAAAGGGUCCGUAGGCGGUUUGUUGCAUCUCCUGUUAAAUCAUCUGGCUCAACCAGGUGGCUGCGGGAGAUAUGGGCAAACUAGAGACUGGAAGAGGCAAGUGGAAUUGCUGGUGUAGGGGUUAAAUCCGUUAAUAUCAGCAGGAACACCAAAUGCGUAGGCAACUUGCUAGAACAGUUCUGACGCUGAGGGACGAAAGCGUGGGGAGCGAAUGGGAUUAGAUACCCGGGUAGUC